This 62-nucleotide transfer RNA is filed under the name Alistipes dispar. It matches the Rfam family "tRNA", at positions 7 to 64 of the family's 71-position model. Rfam says of the family: Transfer RNA (tRNA) molecules are approximately 80 nucleotides in length. Their secondary structure includes four short double-helical elements and three loops (D, anti-codon, and T loops). The record is from RNAcentral. Lineage: Bacteria; Pseudomonadati; Bacteroidota; Bacteroidia; Bacteroidales; Rikenellaceae. RNAcentral also lists the same sequence under 1 other name.
GUCUUAGCUCAGUGGUAGAGCACUUCCUUGGUAAGGAAGAGGUCGUGAGUUCAAGUCUCAUA